UUUAUUUGGGCCUCAUUCUCUCCCAUAUACAACUUUUUCUUUUUUUUUCUUUUUUUUCUUUUUUUAACAGGGAGAGAGAUAGGUAACACGCUAUCCGCUAUAUUUAUUUCAUUUAGAAAUAAACUUAGCUACAAAUGUGAAUCAACUAGGAUUCGAACUUGGGUCUCGGGUACCAACCACUGAGCCCUUUGCCACUUGCUCUAGGGAGAGUCGGUCAUAUACAACUUUGUUAUAAUAUUUUAGAAGGAGCAAAAGCUUAUUGGAGAGCUUCUCAACUAGUUCUUAUGAAGAAGUUUAGAGAACCGUGACAUUCACUGCAUAGAAUUUUAGAAAUCCAUUCCAUCUAAAAGUUUUUCGUCCGAACAUGACAAACAAACUGAUGUAGAGAGUCCAAAAAAGUUGAAUGAGGAGCUCCCCAUUUAUUUUUAUUUUUAUUUUCCUGUAGAAAUAUCUGAAAAGAGCAUAAUUUGCAUAGUGUAGCAUUGCAAAAAUUGCUCUUUCAGUAAAUUGUCAAUGUAACGACUCAACCCGCCAGCAACAAUAACUCAUUAGGCCCAAACCACGAGCCCAAAAUAUUUAAGUCCAGUUAUUAUUACUAGCAUGUGGGGCCUUAUAUAAACUAAUCGGAAUCAGUAUCCCAUCCGAUGUGCAACUAUUUGGGGCGUUACAGUCAAACAAGUAGUAACAAUCCUCUUAUCA
This 699-nucleotide long non-coding RNA is filed under the name Ananas comosus (pineapple). RNAcentral's name for it is "long non-coding RNA (ACOM_LNC015853)". Lineage: Eukaryota; Viridiplantae; Streptophyta; Magnoliopsida; Poales; Bromeliaceae. The record is from RNAcentral.